AGCUCCAAUAGCGUAUAUUAAAGCUGUUGCGGUUAAAAAGCUCGUAGUUGGAUUUCUGUCAAGGACAACUGGUCCGCCCACCGGGUGAGCACAUAGUUUGGUCUUGGCAUCUUGCUGGAGACUGUACUGUGCUUGGCUGUACGGCACAGUGUCCAGCACUUUCACUUUGAGGAAAUUGGAGUGUUUCAAGCAGGCUCAUGCCUUUGGACACAGUAGCAUGGAAUAAUUUGAUUGGGCUUCUGCUCCAAUUUGUCGGUUUCUGGAGCUGAGGUGAGAAUUAAUGGGGAUUGUUGGGGGCAUCCGAAUUUAGCCGUCAGAGGUGAAAUUCUUGGAUCAGCUAAAGACGGACGACUGCGAAAGCGUUUGCCCAAGAUGUUUUCAUUGAUCAAGAACGAAAGUA
This 400-nucleotide ribosomal RNA is filed under the name phytoplankton environmental sample. Its description in RNAcentral is "partial small subunit ribosomal RNA". It matches the Rfam family "Eukaryotic small subunit ribosomal RNA", at positions 587 to 991 of the family's 1831-position model. The record is from RNAcentral.